Molecule: ribosomal RNA, 110 nt
Filed under: Riemerella anatipestifer
Lineage: Bacteria; Pseudomonadati; Bacteroidota; Flavobacteriia; Flavobacteriales; Weeksellaceae
Also listed under: 2 other names
Description: partial 23S ribosomal RNA
Rfam family: Bacterial large subunit ribosomal RNA
Source: RNAcentral
GAUGAGACAUCUUUUAAGGGUCGUGGGAGAUGACCACGUUGAUAGGCUACAGGUGUAAAGUUGGUAACAGCAUAGCCGAGUAGUACUAAUUACCCGUAGAUUUAUAGCCU